This 253-nucleotide ribosomal RNA is filed under the name uncultured bacterium. Its description in RNAcentral is "partial 16S ribosomal RNA". It matches the Rfam family "Bacterial small subunit ribosomal RNA", at positions 524 to 776 of the family's 1533-position model. The record is from RNAcentral.
UACGUAGGGGGCAAGCGUUGUCCGGAAUCAUUGGGCGUAAAGAGCGUGUAGGCGGUUCGGUAAGUCGGCUGUGAAAGUCCAGGGCUCAACCCUGGGAUGCCGGUCGAUACUGCCGGACUAGAGUUCGGAAGAGGCGAGUGGAAUUCCCGGUGUAGCGGUGAAAUGCGCAGAUAUCAGGAAGAACACCCGUGGCGAAGGCGGCUCUCUGGUACGUGACUGACGCUGAGACGCGAAAGCGUGGGGAGCGAACAGG